RNAcentral lists this ribosomal RNA (468 nucleotides) under uncultured bacterium. RNAcentral describes it as "partial 16S ribosomal RNA". It matches the Rfam family "Bacterial small subunit ribosomal RNA", at positions 28 to 507 of the family's 1533-position model. The record is from RNAcentral.
GACGAACGCUGGCGGCGUGCUUAACACAUGCAAGUCGAACGGAAAGGCCCUAUUGUGGUGGAGUGCUCGAGUGGCGAACGGGUAAGUAACACGUAAGUAACCUGCCCUUCACUUUGGGAUAAGUUAAGGUAACUGGACUUAAUACUGGAUAUCAUCGCUCCCUGGAUGGGGGUGGUUGGAAAGUUUGUGCGGGUUGGGAUGGACGGCCGGUUAACUGGUUUGUUGGGGGGUGAGUGGCUAACCAAGGGAUGGGCGGGUAGCCGGCCUGGGAGGGUGACCGGCCAAAUUGGGACUGGGAUAGGGCCCAGAGUCCUACGGGAGGCAGCGGUGGGGAAUAUUGCACAAUGGGCGGAAGCCUGAGGAGGAGACGCCGGGGGGGGGAUGACGGCCUUCGGGUUGUAAACCGCUUCCGCAUGGGACGAAGCGUUAGUGACGGUACCUGCAGAAGAAGCACCGGCUAACUACGUG